This 253-nucleotide ribosomal RNA is filed under the name uncultured bacterium. RNAcentral describes it as "partial 16S ribosomal RNA". It matches the Rfam family "Bacterial small subunit ribosomal RNA", at positions 524 to 776 of the family's 1533-position model. The record is from RNAcentral.
UACGGAGGGUGCAAGCGUUAUCCGGAUUCACUGGGUUUAAAGGGUGCGUAGGUGGGUUUGUAAGUCAGUGGUGAAAUCUCCAGGCUUAACCUGGAAACUGCCGUUGAUACUAUAGAUCUUGAAUUUUCUGGAGGUAAGCGGAAUAUAUCAUGUAGCGGUGAAAUGCUUAGAUAUGACAUAGAACACCAAUUGCGAAGGCAGCUUGCUACAGGAAUAUUGACACUGAGGCACGAAAGCGUGGGGAUCAAACAGG